AAGAACCAUUUUGGUUUGCAAAUCCAUCAUAACUCAAAUAAACUUCAAAAUUCAAAGAAAAAAAUAAGAUAAGAAGAAUAUAAACUACAAAACAUAUAAAAUAAAAAAUGCAUGAUAUAUAUUCUGCUCAGAGAGAGCAUACCCACUCAUCGAUAAUAAUAUUAUCUCAUAUUUGCAGACGUAUUUGUCUAUCUCAUCAUAGCAGAAUACAUACACACCUCAAUAUUAUCAAAAGAAAGAUCUUCAAUAUCAAAUACAAGAACUAAAAAGUACACAAAAGACAGAGAUUCAUGUAAUGUUUCAGUGUAACUCUUUUUGUGUUGGAGUUUCAAACCCUAACCUAGUGACUGCGUUGCUAUGAU
This 362-nucleotide long non-coding RNA is filed under the name Lupinus angustifolius (narrow-leaved blue lupine). Its description in RNAcentral is "long non-coding RNA (LANG_LNC001525)". Lineage: Eukaryota; Viridiplantae; Streptophyta; Magnoliopsida; Fabales; Fabaceae. The record is from RNAcentral.